GCCACCGGGACAGAAUGUAAAGAAGGUCCCUUCAAGUUAGAAUCUUUAACCCAGGCCAGAUAAUAGAGACACCCCUUGGAGAUUAAUCUCCGAGCGCUAAUAUAUGACCUUACGGGUUCGAUGGUCUAAAAAAGCAUAGCACGAGUGCAUCCAAUCCAUCCACAGUAUGACAUCAAAGUCAACCAUGUCUAACUCUAUCGAUUCCACCAGAUUUUACCUAUUACCAACAGAUACAACACCCCCCC
This 245-nucleotide long non-coding RNA is filed under the name Capsicum annuum. RNAcentral's name for it is "long non-coding RNA (CANN_LNC010271)". Lineage: Eukaryota; Viridiplantae; Streptophyta; Magnoliopsida; Solanales; Solanaceae. The record is from RNAcentral.